CGGGUGCUGGACAUAGUGCUUGGAGAAAACCAGAUGUUGUCGCGGAGUUUCCCUUGGAGCAAGAGCUGGAAGUUGCUGAUGUUGCGGAGUAGUCUUCUUAGAGUUUCUUGAUUGAACACUUGUAGUGUUUAAUCCUUUCAACUGUUCAAGUAUAUAAUUUUUCAGUUUCUGUUGUUCCUGAAUGACUGUAAUUUAAUUACACGUCAAAAUUCUGACUGUUCUCUAUAUUUG
RNAcentral lists this small RNA (231 nucleotides) under Vigna angularis var. angularis. RNAcentral describes it as "Non-protein coding transcript". The record is from RNAcentral. Lineage: Eukaryota; Viridiplantae; Streptophyta; Magnoliopsida; Fabales; Fabaceae.